This is a long non-coding RNA of Magnolia sinica, 348 nucleotides long. RefSeq lists it as uncharacterized. Lineage: Eukaryota; Viridiplantae; Streptophyta; Magnoliopsida; Magnoliales; Magnoliaceae. The transcript has 3 exons. The record is from RefSeq and is a predicted model, not a curated record.
AAAUAGUAAAUAUUCCUCAUAUAAUGAUUAUUUUGUUUAUAACAUAGAUUCUUGGUAAUAUAAAUGAUCUCACACUUGAUCAUAUAAGUAAUAGUUGUGAUAUUCAUAUAGGACACCUCAAGCUCGAAUAGAGAAAUACAUCAGUGGUUGGAACAAAUACUUAUGAAGAUUGAUGAGAAAAUUGUGACUUCAAAUACAAAUAAAGAAAUUCGUCAGUGGUUGGAACCCAUACUUGUGAGGAUGGAAGAGAAAAUCGGAGGAUUCUUGUGGACCACUUUAUGUCCUUCGAAGUUCGUUAAACUUAUUGAUUGAUCCUAGAGGAUGGCUUGAUGAUGAGGUAUAUCCACA